GAUGAACGCUGGCGGCGUGCCUAAUACAUGCAAGUCGAGCGAACGGACGAGAAGCUUGCUUUUCUGAUGUUAGCGGCGGACGGGUGAGUAACACGUGGAUAACCUACCUAUAAGACUGGGAUAACUUCGGGAAACCGGAGCUAAUACCGGAUAAUAUUUUGAACCGCAUGGUUCAAAAGUGAAAGACGGUCUUGCUGUCACUUAUAGAUGGAUCCGCGCUGCAUUAGCUAGUUGGUAAGGUAACGGCUUACCAAGGCAACGAUGCAUAGCCGACCUGAGAGGGUGAUCGGCCACACUGGAACUGAGACGCGGUCCAGACUCCUGCGGGAGGCAGCAGUAGGGAAUCUUCCGCAGUGGGCGAAAGCCUGACGGAGCAGCGCCGCGUGAGUGAUGAAGGUCUUCGGAUCGUAAAACUCUGUUAUUAGGGAAGAACAUAUGUGUAAGUAACUGUGCACAUCUUGACGGUACCUAGUCAGAAAGCCACGGCUAACUACGUG
Molecule: ribosomal RNA, 497 nt
Filed under: uncultured bacterium
Lineage: Bacteria
Description: partial 16S ribosomal RNA
Rfam family: Bacterial small subunit ribosomal RNA
Source: RNAcentral